UUUAUCCUACCUGUAAAUAGACACGUAGCACACAGUUUCAGGCUUGAUUUCUUUCGGACCCUAAUAUCUUCUACAUCUUUCACUCCACUAUUUCUCCCUCUUCCACUUCUUCAUCUCUACCUCUUUCUCUGCUGAUUUUGUAUAUCUCUAUCUGAAUUCUCAAUGAUAUAUAAAUCGGGAGGAAUUGCAGACGGAAAUUGUUCAGGGAUGAAAAAGAGGUUAAGAGACGCAGGAGAAGAUUAUCUACUUGUGCCUUUGAUAUUCUCACGCUGAAUUGGAGAAUAUCAGGUAGUUGAUAGACAGCUGCCACAUUGAAGUAGUGAAUGUAUCAGUUGUCCAGUCGAGAAACAAGAGGUGUUUUCUAAGUGACGAUGUCAACGACAUGAGAAAAUAAGAGAAUGUGAUGAGCUCAAAUUGUGCUCCAGAUGCCUCUUUAGCAAUACAUUGUUCCUACCAGUUUACACUGACUGUUAGCAAAAGUUGUGUUCUGCAAUUUGGUGAAGAAAAUUGUCAUAUGGAUGAAACUUUGUUGGAAUACCAAGCGCACGCCGUGGCAAGGCAGAUACCUUCUCUGUGGUGAGUUUUAUGGUCCCUUCUUCUGA
Molecule: long non-coding RNA, 602 nt
Organism: Lycium ferocissimum
Lineage: Eukaryota; Viridiplantae; Streptophyta; Magnoliopsida; Solanales; Solanaceae
Exons: 4
Source: RefSeq, a predicted model, not a curated record